AGAGUUCGAUCCUGGCUCAGGAUGAACGCUAGCUACAGGCUUAACACAUGCAAGUCGAGGGGCGGCGGGAUUGAAGCUUGCUUCAAUUGCCGGCGACCGGCGCACGGGUGAGUAACGCGUAUCCAACCUUCCGUACACUCAGGGAUAGCCUUUCGAAAGAAAGAUUAAUACCUGAUGGUAUCUUAAGCACACAUGUAAUUAAGACUAAAGAUUUAUCGGUGUACGAUGGGGAUGCGUUCCAUUAGGUAGUAGGCGGGGUAACGGCCCACCUAGCCAACGAUGGAUAGGGGUUCUGAGAGGGCGACCGGCCACAUUGGGACUGAGAUACGGCCCAG
RNAcentral lists this ribosomal RNA (335 nucleotides) under uncultured bacterium. Its description in RNAcentral is "bacterial SSU rRNA". It matches the Rfam family "Bacterial small subunit ribosomal RNA", at positions 8 to 334 of the family's 1533-position model. The record is from RNAcentral.